This 398-nucleotide ribosomal RNA is filed under the name uncultured bacterium. RNAcentral's name for it is "partial 16S ribosomal RNA". It matches the Rfam family "Bacterial small subunit ribosomal RNA", at positions 523 to 918 of the family's 1533-position model. The record is from RNAcentral.
AUACGUAGGGUGCGAGCGUUGUCCGGAAUUACUGGGCGUAAAGAGCUCGUAGGUGGUUUGUCGCGUCGUCUGUGAAAUUCCGGGGCUUAACUCCGGGCGUGCAGGCGAUACGGGCAUAACUUGAGUACUGUAGGGGAGACUGGAAUUCCUGGUGUAGCGGUGAAAUGCGCAGAUAUCAGGAGGAACACCGGUGGCGAAGGGGGGUCUCUGGGAAGUAACUGACGCUGAGGAGCGAAAGCAUGGGUAGCGAACAGGAUUAGAUACCCUGGUAGUCCAUGCCGUAAACGGUGGGCGCUAGGUGUAGGGGUCUUCCACGACUUCUGUGCCGUAGCUAACGCAUUAAGCGCCCCGCCUGGGGAGUACGGCCGCAAGGCUAAAACUCAAAUGAAUUGACGGGG